This 76-nucleotide transfer RNA is filed under the name Pseudomonas sp. Leaf58. RNAcentral's name for it is "tRNA-Gln". It matches the Rfam family "tRNA". From Rfam's summary of the family: Transfer RNA (tRNA) molecules are approximately 80 nucleotides in length. Lineage: Bacteria; Pseudomonadati; Pseudomonadota; Gammaproteobacteria; Pseudomonadales; Pseudomonadaceae. The record is from RNAcentral.
AGGCUCGUAGCUCAGCUGGAAGAGCGCCUGGUUCUGACCCAGGAGGUCGUUGGUUCAACUCCAACCGGGCCCGCCA